Molecule: ribosomal RNA, 903 nt
Filed under: Cladosporium lycoperdinum
Lineage: Eukaryota; Fungi; Ascomycota; Dothideomycetes; Cladosporiales; Cladosporiaceae
Description: LSU rRNA
Rfam family: Eukaryotic large subunit ribosomal RNA
Source: RNAcentral
UAGCAUAUCAAUAAGCGGAGGAAAAGAAACCAACAGGGAUUGCUCUAGUAACGGCGAGUGAAGCAGCAAUAGCUCAAAUUUGAAAUCUGGCGUCUUCGACGUCCGAGUUGUAAUUUGUAGAGGAUGCUUCUGAGUAACCACCGACCUAAGUUCCUUGGAACAGGACGUCAUAGAGGGUGAGAAUCCCGUAUGCGGUCGGAAAGGUGCUCUAUACGUAGCUCCUUCGACGAGUCGAGUUGUUUGGGAAUGCAGCUCUAAAUGGGAGGUAAAUUUCUUCUAAAGCUAAAUAUUGGCCAGAGACCGAUAGCGCACAAGUAGAGUGAUCGAAAGAUGAAAAGCACUUUGGAAAGAGAGUUAAAAAGCACGUGAAAUUGUUAAAAGGGAAGGGAUUGCAACCAGACUUGCUCGCGGUGUUCCGCCGGUCUUCUGACCGGUCUACUCGCCGCGUUGCAGGCCAGCAUCGUCUGGUGCCGCUGGAUAAGACUUGAGGAAUGUAGCUCCCUCGGGAGUGUUAUAGCCUCUUGUGAUGCAGCGAGCGCCGGGCGAGGUCCGCGCUUCGGCUAGGAUGCUGGCGUAAUGGUCGUAAUCCGCCCGUCUUGAAACACGGACCAAGGAGUCUAACAUCUAUGCGAGUGUUCGGGUGUCAAACCCCUACGCGUAAUGAAAGUGAACGGAGGUGAGAACCGCAAGGUGCAUCAUCGACCGAUCCUGAUGUCUUCGGAUGGAUUUGAGUAAGAGCAUAGCUGUUGGGACCCGAAAGAUGGUGAACUAUGCCUGAAUAGGGUGAAGCCAGAGGAAACUCUGGUGGAGGCUCGCAGCGGUUCUGACGUGCAAAUCGAUCGUCAAAUUUGGGUAUAGGGGCGAAAGACUAAUCGAACCAUCUAGUAGCUGGUUCCUGCCGAA